RNAcentral lists this ribosomal RNA (384 nucleotides) under uncultured marine Chaetocerotaceae. RNAcentral describes it as "SSU rRNA". It matches the Rfam family "Eukaryotic small subunit ribosomal RNA", at positions 587 to 972 of the family's 1831-position model. Lineage: Eukaryota; Bacillariophyta; Thalassiosirophyceae; Chaetocerotales; Chaetocerotaceae. The record is from RNAcentral.
AGCUCCAAUAGCGUAUAUUAAAGUUGUUGCAGUUAAAAAGCUCGUAGUUGGAUUUCUGGCGGGAGGGAUCGGUACUUCAUUCUUUGUUGUGACUUGAAUCCUCUCCGGCCAUCCUUGGGUGGAUCUUGUCUGGCAUUAAGUUGUCAGUCAGGGGAUGCCCAUCGUUUACUGUGAAAAAAUUAGAGUGUUCAAAGCAGGCUUAUGCCGUUGAAUAUAUUAGCAUGGAAUAAUAAGAUAGGGCCCUGGUACUAUUUUGUUGGUUUGCGUACCGAGGUAAUGAUUAAUAGGGACAGUUGGGGGUAUUUGUAUUCAGUAUUCAGUGGUGAAAUACUUAGACCUACGGAAGACAAACUACUGCGAAAGCAUUUACCAAGGAUGUUUUCA